GACGAACCGUGCGAACGUUAUUCGGAAUCAUUGGGCGUAAAGCGCGUGUAGGCGGCUCGAUAAGUCUGCUGUGAAAGUCCAGGGCUCAACCCUGGGAUGCCGGUGGAUACUGUCGAGCUCGAGUCCGGAAGAGGCGAGUGGAAUUCCUGGUGUAGCGGUGAAAUGCGCAGAAUAUUAGGAGGAACACCAAUGGCGAAGGCAGCUCGCUGGGACGUGACUGACGCUGGAGACGCGAAAGCGUGGGGAGCAAACAGG
This 255-nucleotide ribosomal RNA is filed under the name uncultured bacterium. RNAcentral's name for it is "partial 16S ribosomal RNA". It matches the Rfam family "Bacterial small subunit ribosomal RNA", at positions 524 to 776 of the family's 1533-position model. The record is from RNAcentral.